Molecule: unclassified non-coding RNA, 569 nt
Filed under: Hevea brasiliensis (rubber tree)
Lineage: Eukaryota; Viridiplantae; Streptophyta; Magnoliopsida; Malpighiales; Euphorbiaceae
Source: RNAcentral
AAAUUAAAAAAAAAAAAAAAGAUACGAUGGGGUGGUAUAUGUUGCAUGCUUCAUCCUGUAACUUACCUGAACUGAGCUCAAUCAAGUUUGCUACUUUUAUUUUGUCUUUAUAUCCUCAAUAGCAAGAUAUUUACAGAAUAUCAUUUGAUGCUAAUACUUGUAACUCUAAUUCUCAUUCUUAGUCAAUUCAUAAAACUUCUAAAUAAUUUAGCUAGCUAUUCAAAAAUAAAAGAUAUCCACUCUUAAAUAUUUUGAUUAGAAAAGUAAGAAAGGUCCAGACCCUUAGUUGGCGUUACGAACAGUUAAAGAAUGGGCGGAUCAGCAAAGCUUGAAUUGUUUUCAAUAAUUGGCGAAUAUCGUUCAUGAAUAUUUCUUUUAGCUUUUCCUUAUGUUAUGCAUCUUGUGGUCAUUGGUGUUGAACUUAGUCCAUUAUCUUUUGCCAAAUUCUUAUCUACAUAUUCUAUAGUAGGGGGGCUUAAUAAAUAUAUUUUACAAGGAUUUUGUGUUUCAAUUAAUAAAGUUCAUGUUGUUAGUUCUUAUGACUCAGUUUGGACAAGAUUCUCGAAGAA